AGUGAACGCUGGCGGUAGGCCUAACACAUGCCAGUCGAACGGCAGCACAGUAAGAGCUUGCUCUUACGGGUGGCGAGUGGCGGACGGGUGAGGAAUACAUCUGAAUCUACUUUUUCGUGGGGGAUAACGUAGGGAAACUUACGCUAAUACCGCAUACGACCUACGGGUGAAAGCAGGGGAUCUUCGGACCUUGCGCGAUUGAAUGAGCCGAUGUCGGAUUAGCUAGUUGGCGGGGUAAAGGCCCACCAAGGCGACGAUCCGUAGCUGGUCUGAGAGGAUGAUCAGCCACACUGGAACUGAGACACGGUCCAGACUCCUACGGGAGGCAGCAGUGUGGAAUAUUGGACAAUGGGCGCAAGCCUGAUCCAGCCAUACCGCGUGGGUGAAGAAGGCCUUCGGGUUGUAAAGCCCUUUUGUUGGGAAAGAAAAGCAGCAGGUUAAUACCCCGCUGUUCUGACGGUACCCAAAGAAUAAGCACCGGCUAACUUCGUG
Molecule: ribosomal RNA, 492 nt
Filed under: uncultured bacterium
Lineage: Bacteria
Description: partial 16S ribosomal RNA
Rfam family: Bacterial small subunit ribosomal RNA
Source: RNAcentral